This 465-nucleotide ribosomal RNA is filed under the name Vreelandella stevensii. RNAcentral describes it as "partial 16S ribosomal RNA". It matches the Rfam family "Bacterial small subunit ribosomal RNA", at positions 338 to 795 of the family's 1533-position model. The record is from RNAcentral. Lineage: Bacteria; Pseudomonadati; Pseudomonadota; Gammaproteobacteria; Oceanospirillales; Halomonadaceae.
CCUACGGGAGGCUGCAGUGGGGAAUAUUGGACAAUGGGGGGAACCCUGAUCCAGCCAUGCCGCGUGUGUGAAGAAGGCCCUCGGGUUGUAAAGCACUUUCAGUGAGGAAGAACGCCUGGUGGUUAAUACCCAUCAGGAAAGACAUCACUCACAGAAGAAGCACCGGCUAACUCCGUGCCAGCAGCCGCGGUAAUACGGAGGGUGCGAGCGUUAAUCGGAAUUACUGGGCGUAAAGCGCGCGUAGGUGGCUUGAUAAGCCGGUUGUGAAAGCCCCGGGCUCAACCUGGGAACGGCAUCCGGAACUGUCAAGCUAGAGUGAAGGAGAGGAAGGUAGAAUUCCCGGUGUAGCGGUGAAAUGCGUAGAGAUCGGGAGGAAUACCAGUGGCGAAGGCGGCCUUCUGGACUGACACUGACACUGAGGUGCGAAAGCGUGGGUAGCAAACAGGAUUAGAUACCCGAGUAGUC